Molecule: ribosomal RNA, 1459 nt
Filed under: uncultured bacterium
Lineage: Bacteria
Description: bacterial SSU rRNA
Rfam family: Bacterial small subunit ribosomal RNA
Source: RNAcentral
GGCGGCAGGCCUAACACAUGCAAGUCGAACGGUAACAGGAAGAAGCUUGCUUCUUUGCUGACGAGUGGCGGACGGGUGAGUAAUGUCUGGGAAACUGCCUGAUGGAGGGGGAUAACUACUGGAAACGGUAGCUAAUACCGCAUAACGUCGCAAGACCAAAGAGGGGGACCUUCGGGCCUCUUGCCAUCGGAUGUGCCCAGAUGGGAUUAGCUUGUUGGUGGGGUAACGGCUCACCAAGGCGACGAUCCCUAGCUGGUCUGAGAGGAUGACCAGCCACACUGGAACUGAGACACGGUCCAGACUCCUACGGGAGGCAGCAGUGGGGAAUAUUGCACAAUGGGCGCAAGCCUGAUGCAGCCAUGCCGCGUGUAUGAAGAAGGCCUUCGGGUUGUAAAGUACUUUCAGCGGGGAGGAAGGGAGUAAAGUUAAUACCUUUGCUUAUUGACGUUACCCGCAGAAGAAGCACCGGCUAACUCCGUGCCAGCAGCCGCGGUAAUACGGAGGGUGCAAGCGUUAAUCGGAAUUACUGGGCGUAAAGCGCACGCAGGCGGUUUGUUAAGUCAGAUGUGAAAUCCCCGGGCUCAACCUGGGAACUGCAUCUGAUACUGGCAAGCUUGAGUCUCGUAGAGGGGGGUAGAAUUCCAGGUGUAGCGGUGAAAUGCGUAGAGAUCUGGAGGAAUACCGGUGGCGAAGGCGGCCCCCUGGACGAAGACUGACGCUCAGGUGCGAAAGCGUGGGAGCAAACAGGAUUAGAUACCCUGGUAGUCCACGCCGUAAACGAUGUCGACUUGGAGGUUGUGCCCUUGAGGCGUGGCUUCCGGAGCUAACGCGUUAAGUCGACCGCCUGGGGAGUACGGCCGCAAGGUUAAAACUCAAAUGAAUUGACGGGGGCCCGCACAAGCGGUGGAGCAUGUGGUUUAAUUCGAUGCAACGCGAAGAACCUUACCUGGUCUUGACAUCCACGGAAGUUUUCAGAGAUGAGAAUGUGCCUUCGGGAACCGUGAGACAGGUGCUGCAUGGCUGUCGUCAGCUCGUGUUGUGAAAUGUUGGGUUAAGUCCCGCAACGAGCGCAACCCUUAUCCUUUGUUGCCAGCGGUCCGGCCGGGAACUCAAAGGAGACUGCCAGUGAUAAACUGGAGGAAGGUGGGGAUGACGUCAAGUCAUCAUGGCCCUUACGACCAGGGCUACACACGUGCUACAAUGGCGCAUACAAAGAGAAGCGACCUCGCGAGAGCAAGCGGACCUCAUAAAGUGCGUCGUAGUCUGGAUUGGAGUCUGCAACUCGACUCCAUGAAGUCGGAAUCGCUAGUAAUCGUGGAUCAGAAUGCCACGGUGAAUACGUUCCCGGGCCUUGUACACACCGCCCGUCACACCAUGGGAGUGGGUUGCAAAAGAAGUAGGUAGCUUAACCUUCGGGAGGGCGCUUACCACUUUGUGAUUCAUGACUGGGGUGAAGUCG